This 76-nucleotide transfer RNA is filed under the name Methylorubrum extorquens. Its description in RNAcentral is "tRNA-Val". It matches the Rfam family "tRNA". From Rfam's summary of the family: Transfer RNA (tRNA) molecules are approximately 80 nucleotides in length. Their secondary structure includes four short double-helical elements and three loops (D, anti-codon, and T loops). Lineage: Bacteria; Pseudomonadati; Pseudomonadota; Alphaproteobacteria; Hyphomicrobiales; Methylobacteriaceae. The record is from RNAcentral.
GGGCGCGUAGCUCAGCGGGAGAGCACUACCUUGACAUGGUAGGGGUCACAGGUUCGAUCCCCUGUCGCGCCCACCA